CCUACGGGGGGCUGCAGUGGGGAAUAUUGGACAAUGGGGGGAACCCUGAUCCAGCCAUGCCGCGUGUGUGAAGAAGGCCCUCGGGUCGUAAAGCACUUUCAGUGAGGAAGAACGCCUGGUGGUUAAUACCCAUCAGGAAAGACAUCACUCACAGAAGAAGCACCGGCUAACUUCGUGCCAGCAGCCGCGGUAAUACGGAGGGUGCGAGCGUUAAUCGGAAUUACUGGGCGUAAAGCGCGCGUAGGUGGCUUGAUAAGCCGGUUGUGAAAGCCCCGGGCUCAACCUGGGAACGGCAUCCGGAACUGUCAAGCUAGAGUGAAGGAGAGGAAGGUAGAAUUCCCGGUGUAGCGGUGAAAUGCGUAGAGAUCGGGAGGAAUACCAGUGGCGAAGGCGGCCUUCUGGACUGACACUGACACUGAGGUGCGAAAGCGUGGGUAGCAAACAGGAUUAGAUACCCUAGUAGUC
RNAcentral lists this ribosomal RNA (465 nucleotides) under Vreelandella stevensii. RNAcentral's name for it is "partial 16S ribosomal RNA". It matches the Rfam family "Bacterial small subunit ribosomal RNA", at positions 338 to 795 of the family's 1533-position model. Lineage: Bacteria; Pseudomonadati; Pseudomonadota; Gammaproteobacteria; Oceanospirillales; Halomonadaceae. The record is from RNAcentral.